AAUUACUAUCAAUUACCUCCUCCCUCAGGCUACUGGAGUGGGCUAAUUCCCCCACCCAUGUAGCUGGCAAUACCCUCGACCUUAUUUUAUCUUAUGCAUGUACAGUAUCUAAUAUCUGCAACACUCCAUUUCCUCUCUCUGAUCACCACCUCUUAUUGCUUGUUCUCGAUUACCCCCUCACCCAACAACCUCAGCCUAACCCCCCUCAACUCAGGAGGAACCUUAAUUCUAUUGACCUCCAG
This is a non-coding RNA of Pelobates cultripes (western spadefoot toad), 242 nucleotides long. The record is from the annotation of a GenBank genome assembly. NCBI's taxonomy places the organism in Eukaryota, Metazoa, Chordata, Amphibia, Anura, Pelobatidae.